GAGUGUGUAGCUCAGUGGUAGAGUGUAUGCUUAGCAUGCGUGAAAUCCUGGCUUCAAACCCAGUACCUCCA
Molecule: transfer RNA, 71 nt
Filed under: Camelus bactrianus (Bactrian camel)
Lineage: Eukaryota; Metazoa; Chordata; Mammalia; Artiodactyla; Camelidae
Also listed under: 2 other names
Rfam family: tRNA
About the family: Transfer RNA (tRNA) molecules are approximately 80 nucleotides in length. Their secondary structure includes four short double-helical elements and three loops (D, anti-codon, and T loops).
Source: Rfam by way of RNAcentral